Long non-coding RNA from Pelobates fuscus (common spadefoot toad), 432 nucleotides. RefSeq lists it as uncharacterized. The record is from RefSeq and is a predicted model, not a curated record. The transcript is spliced from 3 exons. Lineage: Eukaryota; Metazoa; Chordata; Amphibia; Anura; Pelobatidae.
UUUUACCAAUAGUGGAGAAGAGUACCAGCUCCAAUGAUACUACUUGUAGAGAGAGUACCGGAUCCUUUUAAUACUACUAUUAGGGAGAGUACAGGGUCCUUUUUAUACUACUGGUAGAGAGAGUACCGUAUCCUUUUUAUACUACUGGUAGAGAGAGUGCCGGGACCUUUUUAUACUACUGGUGGAGAGAGUACCGGGUCCUUUUUAUACUACUGGUAGAGAGAGUACUGGGAUCUUUUUAUACUACUGGUAGAGAGAGUACCAGGUCCUUUUUAUACUACUGGUAGAGAGAGUACCAGGUCCUUUUUAUACUACGGACAGGGAGAGUACCGGGUCCUUUUUAUACUACGGAUAGGGAGAGUGCCAGGUCUUUUUAUACUACUGGUAGAGAGAGUACGGAGCUCUUUUUAUGUUUUCUGUCAGAGCACGGAU